AGUGAACGCUGGCGGUAGGCCUAACACAUGCAAGUCGAACGGCAGCACAGUAAGAGCUUGCUCUUACGGGUGGCGAGUGGCGGACGGGUGAGGAAUACUUCGGAAUCUACUUUUUCGUGGGGGAUAACGUAGGGAAACUUACGCUAAUACCGCAUACGACCUACGGGUGAAAGCAGGGGAUCUUCGGACCUUGCGCGAUUGAAUGAGCCGAUGUCGGAUUAGCUAGUUGGCGGGGUAAAGGCCCACCAAGGCGACGAUCCGUAGCUGGUCUGAGAGGAUGAUCAGCCACACUGGAACUGAGACACGGUCCAGACUCCUACGGGAGGCAGCAGUGGGGAAUAUUGGACAAUGGGCGCAAGCCUGAUCCAGCCAUACCGCGUGGGUGAAGAAGGCCUUCGGGUUGUAAAGCCCUUUUGUUGGGAAAGAAAAGCAGCAGGUUAAUACCCCGCCGUUCUGACGGUACCCAAAGAAUAAGCACCGGCUAACUUCGUG
This 492-nucleotide ribosomal RNA is filed under the name uncultured bacterium. RNAcentral's name for it is "partial 16S ribosomal RNA". It matches the Rfam family "Bacterial small subunit ribosomal RNA", at positions 29 to 507 of the family's 1533-position model. The record is from RNAcentral.